RNAcentral lists this non-coding RNA (109 nucleotides) under chicken gut metagenome. RNAcentral describes it as "FMN riboswitch (RFN element)". It matches the Rfam family "FMN riboswitch aptamer (RFN element)". From Rfam's summary of the family: The RFN element is a highly conserved domain that is found frequently in the 5'-untranslated regions of prokaryotic mRNAs that encode for flavin mononucleotide (FMN) biosynthesis and transport proteins. This element is a metabolite-dependent riboswitch that directly binds FMN in the absence of proteins. In Bacillus subtilis, the riboswitch most likely controls gene expression by causing premature transcription termination within the 5' untranslated region of the ribDEAHT operon and precluding access to the ribosome-binding site of ypaA mRNA. The record is from RNAcentral.
CUCUUCAGGGCAGGGUGAAAUUCCCGAUCGGCGGUACAGUCCGCGGGCGCUACGCGCGCAGAAUUGGUGCGAUUCCAAUACCGACAGUGACAGUCUGGAUGAGAGAAGA